UGGGGAAUAUUGCACAAUGGGCGCAAGCCUGAUGCAGCGACGCCGCGUGCGGGAUGGAGGCCUUCGGGUUGUAAACCGCUUUUGAUCGGGAGCAAGCCCUUCGGGGUGAGUGUACCUUUCGAAUAAGCACCGGCUAACUACGUGCCAGCAGCCGCGGUAAUACGUAGGGUGCAAGCGUUAUCCGGAAUUAUUGGGCGUAAAGGGCUCGUAGGCGGUUCGUCGCGUCCGGUGUGAAAGCCCAUCGCUUAACGGUGGGUCUGCGCCGGGUACGGGCGGGCUGGAGUGCGGUAGGGGAGACUGGAAUUCCCGGUGUAACGGUGGAAUGUGUAGAUAUCGGGAAGAACACCAAUGGCGAAGGCAGGUCUCUGGGCCGUCACUGACGCUGAGGAGCGAAAGCGUGGGGAGCGAACA
RNAcentral lists this ribosomal RNA (411 nucleotides) under uncultured Bifidobacterium sp. Its description in RNAcentral is "bacterial SSU rRNA". It matches the Rfam family "Bacterial small subunit ribosomal RNA", at positions 355 to 774 of the family's 1533-position model. Lineage: Bacteria; Bacillati; Actinomycetota; Actinomycetes; Bifidobacteriales; Bifidobacteriaceae. The record is from RNAcentral.